CAUAUACUCCCUCCGUUCCAAAAUUCUUGUCUUACAUUUGUGUAGAUACGAAUGUAUCUAGUCACAUUUUAGUAUUCAGAUACAUCCAUUUGUAGACAAAUUUAAGACAAGAAUUUUGGACCGGAGGGAGUAUUAG
Molecule: microRNA precursor, 136 nt
Filed under: Hordeum vulgare
Lineage: Eukaryota; Viridiplantae; Streptophyta; Magnoliopsida; Poales; Poaceae
Description: microRNA MIR1122
Rfam family: MIR1120/MIR1122 microRNA precursor family
Source: RNAcentral